RNAcentral lists this long non-coding RNA (384 nucleotides) under Actinidia chinensis (golden kiwifruit). Its description in RNAcentral is "long non-coding RNA (ACHI_LNC004595)". Lineage: Eukaryota; Viridiplantae; Streptophyta; Magnoliopsida; Ericales; Actinidiaceae. The record is from RNAcentral.
ACGAAUCAACUUGACCAAUUUUAGCCAUUUCCGGCAAAUAAUAAUAAAAACAUGAAUGAUAAUUCUCUCAUUAUAGUAAUUUACUUUAAUCCCCACAACUGUAGCCAUGUACCUAAACACGCAGAUUGGACACCAGAACUGGGAGAAUAGAAUUACAGAAUAGAAACUUAGGAACCAGAGAGAGAGAGAGAGAGAGAGAGGGAGAGAGAGAGAGAGAUGGAAAUGUUAGAACUAUCUCAAAACAUUGAGGAUAUAGAUCCAAUCAAAUUCAGCACUCUGGUAUUUCUCUAGUCACGUGUAUAUUUGGUAAAUGAAACCUCAAUGAAGGAGGAAGAAAAAGAAUAAUAGAAUCAAGCAAAUAUACAAAACUGUGGUCAUAUAAAC